RNAcentral lists this signal recognition particle RNA (101 nucleotides) under Deltaproteobacteria bacterium. RNAcentral's name for it is "signal recognition particle sRNA small type". It matches the Rfam family "Bacterial small signal recognition particle RNA". Rfam says of the family: The signal recognition particle (SRP) is a universally conserved ribonucleoprotein involved in the co-translational targeting of proteins to membranes. Archaeal SRP consists of a 7S RNA and homologues of the eukaryotic SRP19 and SRP54 proteins. Lineage: Bacteria; Pseudomonadati; Myxococcota; Myxococcia. The record is from RNAcentral.
AGCUGGGUCCUGCGCAGAGAUAGGAUUACAAACCCCGUCAGGUCCGGAAGGAAGCAGCGGUAGUAAUCUUUUUCUCUUAGUCGCAGGAAAGCCUAGCUAUC